UGAAGCUGAGUGAUAAAGCACUUGCCUGGCAUGUAUGAAGCCCUGGGUUCCAUUCCCAGCA
RNAcentral lists this transfer RNA (61 nucleotides) under Fukomys damarensis (Damara mole-rat). It matches the Rfam family "tRNA", at positions 6 to 65 of the family's 71-position model. From Rfam's summary of the family: Transfer RNA (tRNA) molecules are approximately 80 nucleotides in length. The record is from Rfam by way of RNAcentral. Lineage: Eukaryota; Metazoa; Chordata; Mammalia; Rodentia; Bathyergidae.